RNAcentral lists this ribosomal RNA (468 nucleotides) under uncultured bacterium. Its description in RNAcentral is "partial 16S ribosomal RNA". It matches the Rfam family "Bacterial small subunit ribosomal RNA", at positions 28 to 507 of the family's 1533-position model. The record is from RNAcentral.
GACGAACGCUGGCGGCGUGCUUAACACAUGCAAGUCGAACGGUGAAGCUCCAUGCUGCUGGUGUGGAGCUGUGGCGAACAGGUGAGUAACAUACGAGCAACCUGCCCCCGACUCUGGAAAAAGCGCUUGUAACGGAGUAUCAGAAUGUAUACGAGAAGAUUCCGCAUAUGCUCAUUCUGGAAAAUUCUUCGGUUGGGGAUGGGAUCGCGGACUAUCAGCUAGUUGGUGAGGUCAUGGCUCACCAAGGCGACGACGGGUAGCCGGCCUGAGAGGGCGACCGGCCACACUUGGACUGAGACACGGCCCAGACUCCUACGGGAGGCAGCAGUGGGGAAUAUUGCACAAUGGGCGAAAGCCUGAUGCAGCGACGCCGCGUGAGGGAUGACGGCCUUCGGGUUGUAAACCUCUUUCAGCAAGGAAGAAGCGAGAGUGACGGUACCUGCAGAAGAAGCACCGGCUAACUACGUG